RNAcentral lists this ribosomal RNA (468 nucleotides) under uncultured bacterium. Its description in RNAcentral is "partial 16S ribosomal RNA". It matches the Rfam family "Bacterial small subunit ribosomal RNA", at positions 28 to 507 of the family's 1533-position model. The record is from RNAcentral.
GACGAACGCUGGCGGCGUGCUUAACACAUGCAAGUCGAACGGAAAGGCCCUGCGUUUGUUGGGUUCUCGAUUGGCGAGCGGGUGAGUGACACGUGAGGAACCUGCCCUUGACUUUGUGGUAACUUCUGGGAACUGGGGCGAAUACCCGAGAUGAGCUCCUGCUGCAUGUGGUGGGUUGGUAAGUUUCGGCGGUUGUGGCUGGACUGGCUGGUUAUGCGCUUGUUUGUGUGGUAGUGGCUUUCCAGGGGUUUGACGGGUAGCCUGCAUGAGAGCGUUGCCGGCCACAUUGGGACUGAGAUACGGACCAGAAUCCUAUGGGAGGCAGCAGUGGGGAAUAUUGCACAAUGGGCGCAAGCCUGAUGUAGAAACGCCGCGUGCGGGAUGCUGGCUUUCGGGUUGUAAACCGCUUUCGACUGUGACGAAGAGUGAGUGACGGUAAUGGGUAAAGAAGCACCGGCUAACUACGUG